This 491-nucleotide ribosomal RNA is filed under the name uncultured bacterium. RNAcentral's name for it is "partial 16S ribosomal RNA". It matches the Rfam family "Bacterial small subunit ribosomal RNA", at positions 29 to 506 of the family's 1533-position model. The record is from RNAcentral.
AGUGAACGCUGGCGGUAGGCCUAACACAUGCAAGUCGAACGGCAGCACAGUAAGAGCUUGCUCUUACGGGUGGCGAGUGGCGGACGGGUGAGGAAUACAUCGGAAUCUACUUUUUCGUGGGGGAUAACGUAGGGAAACUUACGCUAAUACCGCAUUCGACCUACGGGUGAAAGCAGGGGAUCUUCGGACCUUGCGCGAUUGAAUGAGCCGAUGUCGGAUUAGCUAGUUGGCGGGGUAAAGGCCCACCAAGGCGACGAUCCGUAGCUGGUCUGAGAGGAUGAUCAGCCACACUGGAACUGAGACACGGUCCAGACUCCUACGGGAGGCAGCAGUGGGGAAUAUUGGACAAUGGGCGCAAGCCUGAUCCAGCCAUACCGCGUGGGUGAAGAAGGCCUUCGGGUUGUAAAGCCCUUUUGUUGGGAAAGAAAAGCAGCAGGUUAAUACCCCGCUGUUCUGACGGUACCCAAAGAAUAAGCACCGGCUAACUGCGU